GAUGAACGCUGGCGGCGUGCCUAAUACAUGCAAGUCGAGCGAACGGACGAGAAGCUUGCUUCUCUGAUGUUAGCGGCGGACGGGUGAGUAACACGUGGAUAACCUACCUAUAAGACUGGGAUAACUUCGGGAAACCGGAGCUAAUACCGGAUAAUAUUUUGAACCGCAUGGUUCAAAAGUGAAAGACGGUCUUGCUGUCACUUAUAGAUGGAUCCGCGCUGCAUUAGCUAGUUGGUAAGGUAACGGCUUACCAAGGCAACGAUGCAUAGCCGACCUAAGAGGGUGAUCGGCCACACUGGAACUGAGACACGGUCCAGACUCCUACGGGAGGCAGCAGUAGGGAAUCUUCCACAAUGGGCGAAAGCCUGACGGAGCAACGCCGCGUGAGUGAUGAAGGUCUUCGGAUCGUAAAACUCUGUUAUUAGGGAAGAACAUAUGUGUAAGUAACUGUGCACAUCUUGACGGUACCUAAUCAGAAAGCCACGGCUAACUACGUG
RNAcentral lists this ribosomal RNA (497 nucleotides) under uncultured bacterium. RNAcentral describes it as "partial 16S ribosomal RNA". It matches the Rfam family "Bacterial small subunit ribosomal RNA", at positions 28 to 507 of the family's 1533-position model. The record is from RNAcentral.